Molecule: non-coding RNA, 380 nt
Organism: Pelobates cultripes (western spadefoot toad)
Lineage: Eukaryota; Metazoa; Chordata; Amphibia; Anura; Pelobatidae
Source: the annotation of a GenBank genome assembly
GUUGGUCUCUCUAACACUGUGGCAUGUCCCCUUUCUUCUAAACUCACUACAGACACCUUUUCUCUGUCUCAGACUAUACCAGGAACUUCUGCCUGCUAGUAAGAAGGUAAGGAGACAAGUGGACCAGCGAGUGCUAGGGGACAGUCCUUAGAAAGAAUGGAGUGAGCGCAUCAUUAGACGCAUUUAUGUCAAGCUCAAGGUGCUGCCUGCAUAGUAUGCCCUUAGUUGGACAGCCUGCAGGAUUGGCAGGCAGCCUGACAUGCAUUCAUGCCAGGCUGACCUUCCAAUUCUUUGGACAAACAUGCCCCCUUUUUGGGCAUGUUCACCCCUUUUGGCAGGUCUUGUCACGUGAUUUGCACCAGUGGCACACCCUUUUACCC